Molecule: ribosomal RNA, 279 nt
Filed under: uncultured bacterium
Lineage: Bacteria
Description: partial 16S ribosomal RNA
Rfam family: Bacterial small subunit ribosomal RNA
Source: RNAcentral
UGCCAGCCGCCGCGGUAAUACGGAGGGGGCAAGCGUUAUUCGGAAUUAUUGGGCGUAAAGGGCGCGUAGGUGGCCUGAAAAGUCAGUGGUGAAAUCCCUCGGCUCAACCGAGGAACUGCCUCUGAAACUGUCAGGCUCGAGGCCGGGAGAGGGUAGUGGAAUUCCCAGUGUAGCGGUGAAAUGCGUAGAUAUUGGGAAGAACACCGGUGGCGAAGGCGGCUAACUGGCUCGGUACUGACGCUGAGAUGCGAAAGCGUGUGGAGCAAACAGGAUUAGAUA